This 74-nucleotide transfer RNA is filed under the name Candidatus Wolfebacteria bacterium. RNAcentral's name for it is "tRNA-Pro". It matches the Rfam family "tRNA". Rfam says of the family: Transfer RNA (tRNA) molecules are approximately 80 nucleotides in length. The record is from RNAcentral. Lineage: Bacteria; Candidatus Wolfeibacteriota.
CGGGAUGUAGUAUAGUGGUAGUAUAUAUGCUUUGGGAGCAUACGGUCCGGGUUCGAUUCCCGGCAUCCCGACCA